UACGUAGGGGGCAAGCGUUGUCCGGAUUUAUUGGGCGUAAAGCGCACGUAGGUGGCGACGUAAGUCGGGUGUGAAAGCCCCGGGCUCAACCUGGGAAUUGCAUUCGAGACUGCAUUGCUGGAGUACGGAAGAGGAAGGCGGAAUUCCCGGUGUAGCGGUGAAAUUCGUAGAUAUCGGGAGGAACACCAGUGGCGAAGGCGGCGACCUGGACCGAUACUGACGCUGAGACACGAAAGCGUGGGGAGCAAACAGG
This 253-nucleotide ribosomal RNA is filed under the name uncultured bacterium. RNAcentral describes it as "partial 16S ribosomal RNA". It matches the Rfam family "Bacterial small subunit ribosomal RNA", at positions 524 to 776 of the family's 1533-position model. The record is from RNAcentral.